UAGGCUUGGUCUGUUUGGAUAAGGAUCUAAUUUAGGUUUGUGGAAUCAUCUUAAUGAGACACAAUGUCCUCCGUUGAAAGGUGUCUAAAUUUAGCCAUGCACAUAAUAAACCUAGUCUCUAUAAUUGGGUAGGAUAACUUGAUGGAAAAUUGUCGCUCAGAUUUAGAUUAAAUGUAAAGGUAAGCAAUCCAAAAGUCACACGCGACUUACUAUGUCACCAUGGAUACGCCAAAGCGAAAACACGAGAAAAAUCAGGGAAGUAGCAAACACAGGGACUUAAUUUGUGAUGUGAAACAGGUCACCCAGGAUGACUCAGAACACCUGUGUUCUUGCUUUUUUUUUUUUUUUUUUUUUUCCUUUUCCCAAAAGAUUUUGGAAAUGCUGUUUCCUGGUGAGAAUACUGCACUGAGUGUGCAUUUACGUGGUUCUUGUGUAUCGCCGCCCAAGAUCUUCCGAUUCGGCAUCUGCUUUGUAGCCAGAGACUCCAGCGAGUCAUACGUGCCCUCGAAGCAGACACAUGCCACCUUAGUACCUGCUGGAUGCCCAGUAAGGACUGACUGAACUCGGCUGAACUGAUGUUACGUUUGACGUCCCCAGGAGAAGACUCGUCUGUGUCAACUGUCCUCACUGGAAAUAGCUGCUGAGGCAGAAGCAUCUAGCAUCAAGUAAUCUUCACAAAUAUCAUCUGUAAUCCAUGAGACUUGCCACUGUUCCUAAGGACGAUUGUUAACCAUGGUGUUACUGAUCCAGUGGAAAGUACAUUUUAUAGAAACUUACCAGGGGUAUUUUGCGACACUGAAAUUUGAUGUCUAUUGUCUCAAUGUGGAAUGUUAAACCCAGCGAUUGGUGCUGAUGAGCGAAUGUGAACCAAUGAGCCAUCAGAGAUGAGACCCAACAGUCGCCAAAUCGCUUGUUGAGGAGAAAUUAGCAAAUGGAUCAAAUGAGGAAUGAGGUCAACCAAGAAUCACAGUGCUGUUCAUUUCAGACAUGGGAGCAGAAGACAAGAUUUCAGACUCAUACACACGGCGACCCCAUGCCCGACUUCAAAAAAACAGUGAUUCAUCCAGACACCAAAGCUCAGCAGCUCAGAGUCAACCUCAAAUAUAGUCAAAGCUCACCAAGUGCUCUCCCAAGAAAAAUAGAACAUAAGUGCCAGAUGACCUGCGGUAAAGACUCUUCUUCCAAAGAGUGGCUGGACUGUCCUGAUUUCAUCGCACCUACAUUAGCGUGUCAACAGGCCCUUGCAAUUCCCAACGAUCCCACUGGGCUGCUUUAUCAUUGA
This 1282-nucleotide long non-coding RNA is filed under the name Canis lupus familiaris (dog). RNAcentral describes it as "lncRNA (ENSCAFG00845024353.1)". The record is from RNAcentral. Lineage: Eukaryota; Metazoa; Chordata; Mammalia; Carnivora; Canidae.